This 747-nucleotide ribosomal RNA is filed under the name uncultured bacterium. Its description in RNAcentral is "bacterial SSU rRNA". It matches the Rfam family "Bacterial small subunit ribosomal RNA", at positions 33 to 773 of the family's 1533-position model. The record is from RNAcentral.
ACGCUGGCGGCAGGCCUAACACAUGCAAGUCGAGCGGCAGCACAGGUACUUGUACCGGGUGGCGAGCGGCGGACGGGUGAGUAAUGCCUAGGAAUCUGCCUGGUAGUGGGGGAUAACGUUCGGAAACGGACGCUAAUACCGCAUACGUCCUACGGGAGAAAGUGGGGGAUCUUCGGACCUCACGCUAUCAGAUGAGCCUAGGUCGGAUUAGCUAGUUGGUGAGGUAAUGGCUCACCAAGGCGACGAUCCGUAACUGGUCUGAGAGGAUGAUCAGUCACACUGGAACUAAGACACGGUCCAGACUCCUACGGGAGGCAGCAGUGGGGAAUAUUGGACAAUGGGCGAAAGCCUGAUCCAGCCAUGCCGCGUGUGUGAAGAAGGUCUUCGGAUUGUAAAGCACUUUAAGUUGGGAGGAAGGGCAUUAACCUAAUACGUUGGUGUUUUGACGUUACCGACAGAAUAAGCACCGGCUAACUCUGUGCCAGCAGCCGCGGUAAUACAGAGGGUGCAAGCGUUAAUCGGAAUUACUGGGCGUAAAGCGCGCGUAGGUGGUUUGUUAAGUUGAAUGUGAAAUCCCCGGGCUCAACCUGGGAACUGCAUCCAAAACUGCCAAGCUAGAGUAUGGUAGAGGGUGGUGGAAUUUCCUGUGUAGCGGUGAAAUGCGUAGAUAUAGGAAGGAACACCAGUGGCGAAGGCGACCACCUGGACUGAUACUGACACUGAGGUGCGAAAGCGUGGGGAGCAAAC